Molecule: transfer RNA, 73 nt
Filed under: Holosporaceae bacterium
Lineage: Bacteria; Pseudomonadati; Pseudomonadota; Alphaproteobacteria; Holosporales; Holosporaceae
Description: tRNA-Thr
Rfam family: tRNA
About the family: Transfer RNA (tRNA) molecules are approximately 80 nucleotides in length. Their secondary structure includes four short double-helical elements and three loops (D, anti-codon, and T loops).
Source: RNAcentral
GCCGGACUAGCUCAGUUGGUAGAGCAACUGAUUUGUAAUCAGUAGGUCCUUGGUUCAAGUCCGAGGUCCGGCA